GGAUGACAUGGGUGCCAAUGUCGUGGUGGAUGUUGUUGAUCCAGCCGUAGUCCCGGUCCACCGUCGUCAGGCCCCCGCGCAGGUAGCUCCAUUCCUCGCCGCGGUACCAGGGGAGGUCAUGCUGACCAUGGUGGUGCAGGUAUGGGACUCCGUACACCUUGACCACCUGCAGGGGUCCCAAGGCGCACGCCAUGGCGAGGAGCGACGCGAGCAUAAUGCACCAGCAGGUGGUUGACACCACAACAUCACUCCUCUCCUUGGGGCUGAACAGAUCGCUGCUCGGCAGAAAGUGCGAGCCGUUCUUGCCGGGGGUCCUGUACCACUGCAGCCAAGGGACAGCAUCAAAUCAAACUAACUGUGUUCAGUCCAACUGAUCAGUUGGUUGGGUUUCAGUUUGGGACUGGACUGCAGGGACAUUUUUGUUAUGCACGCACGCAUGCAUAAUGGUGGAGCUUGCUGAAGAUGAAUUACUACGAUACGUACGAGGUAGAGGGGGAAAGCAAGCAGUGGGAACGGCGGCGUGAAGCGUAGCUUCUUGGUGCGUGUUUCCAGCUUCCGGUAUAGCUUCUCCGUGAUCUGCUUGCUCCAAACACAUCAGAUCAUUCAUAUUGCACAACCAUUAAAUAGCAUCGAUCAUCAGUUAGUUAAAACUUAAAAGUGAGCAGGCAGAUGGAACUGAAAUCCCAGAAGAAGUAGCUAGUGUAGGAAUGAAUGAUCAAAUGUGCGUCAAACUUAAGUGGGACAAAAUUAACCCAAUCCAGGCAUGAAGCAUCUACAGGUUCGGAGGCUCCACUUGCGUGUGGAAGGGAUAGAUAUAUUCCAUCACGAUUUCAUAGCGAUAUCGAAUACUGUGGUAAAUUAAGUAACGAUUUUAAUUACUUUAUCUUGGUAAAAAAAAAGAUUGUGAUUAGUGAUUUCUUUCAAGUCGAUAGUUGAGAUCUCGGGGGUGAAAGUGGAGCCCAAGUUCUGAAAAGGGAAAGCUAGGCCAGUCGAUCUGCAGAGCUAAAUGACAUGGGGUAGUUGCUAGAUCCAAACGAGAUCCGCAUCUGCAGAUUACUUUAGCAUCAACUCACGUGAGUGCCGACAUAGAUAAAGAGACAGCAGGUCUACGAGCUAGUUGUUGCUGCUGCCGGUGGUGUUGGUACUCGAUCCGUGUUAAUUACUAUUCAUUUUAUUCAUGGACCACAACUAUCUGUGAAUCGGUGCAUUCUAAAGCUAGCUUGAUAUUUGUUACUGCAAGCCAUGUGCCUCGAUCUGCACUGCAGCAGACUGGGAAUGAAAUGAAAGGUGCUCUAGUUUGGUUGUCCAAUAUAAUGGACACUUGACAAACAGUAACUUGUUUCAUGAGAAAUGCAGAAACUAUGCUACCAUCAUACAUGCAGACAUUUUUCUUUUCUUUUUGCAGACACUUGACAAGAUUAAGAUUGUUUCUUCAUUAUUAUAUACUUGCUACCAUCAUACAGUAACUUGUUUUAAAAAGUAGUACCGUCAUGUAUAUAAUGCACGCUGUAUAAUUGGUUCUUAGUUUUUUUUUUAUCUUGAGCAGUAGCUAGUAAGUAAUAUACUGAGUAGUGCAAGUCGGAAUAAGCAGGUGAGCAGUAACUACUAACCGGGUGCCAUGAUUCGUCCCUCUCGAUGUGGCCGUGGUUCUGAUGGUGCGUUCUGUGGCUGAUCCUCCUGCACAUCCAUCAAUGGUGCGGUGUCGAUUCCUUCUCCAAAGGGAAAGGAGAAACAGCUAGCCUAGAAUGAAGUAUUAUUCUCCACGUUACUACGUUAAGCCAGGACUACCUGUCUUCUGGGAGAAGCUUUCUUUUGCGUCGCAAAUCAAAUUAAUAAAAAAGAUGAUGCAUC
Long non-coding RNA from Phragmites australis (common reed), 1851 nucleotides. RefSeq lists it as uncharacterized. The transcript has 3 exons. The record is from RefSeq and is a predicted model, not a curated record. NCBI's taxonomy places the organism in Eukaryota, Viridiplantae, Streptophyta, Magnoliopsida, Poales, Poaceae.